GAUGAACGCUGGCGGCGUGCCUAAUACAUGCAAGUCGAGCGAACAGACGAGGAGCUUGCUCCUCUGACGUUAGCGGCGGACGGGUGAGUAACACGUGGAUAACCUACCUAUAAGACUGGGAUAACUUCGGGAAACCGGAGCUAAUACCGGAUAAUAUAUUGAACCGCAUGGUUCAAUAGUGAAAGACGGUUUUGCUGUCACUUAUAGAUGGAUCCGCGCCGCAUUAGCUAGUUGGUAAGGUAACGGCUGACCAAGGCAACGAUGCGUAGCCGACCUGAGAGGGUGAUCGGCCACCCUGGAACUGAGCCACGGUCCAGACUCCUACGGGAGGCAGCAGUAGGGAAUCUUCCGCAAUGGGCGAAAGCCUGACGGAGCAACGCCGCGUGAGUGAUGAAGGUCUUCGGAUCGUAACCCUCUGUUAUUAGGGAAGAACAAAUGUGUAAGUAACUAUGCACGUCUUGACGGUACCUAAUCAGAAAGCCACGGCUAACUACGUG
This 497-nucleotide ribosomal RNA is filed under the name uncultured bacterium. Its description in RNAcentral is "partial 16S ribosomal RNA". It matches the Rfam family "Bacterial small subunit ribosomal RNA", at positions 28 to 507 of the family's 1533-position model. The record is from RNAcentral.